GAUGAAGAACGUAGCGAAAUGCGAUAAGUAAUGCGAAUUGCAGAAUUUCCGUGAGUCAUCGAAUCUUUGAACGCACAUUGCGCCCACUGGUAUUCCGGAGGGCAUGCCUGUCUGAGCGUCAUUGUCAACCCUCAAGCUCAGCUUGCUGUUGGGUCCCCGUCGUUGCUUUAACGGCGGACCCGAAAGGUAAUGGCAGAGUCCGUGAGACCCUAGACGCAGCGAGCUUCUAGCACGCGUCUGGACGUUUUUCGGGCUCGGUCUUAACUAGAUGAUAACUUCCGAUUGACCUCAGAUCAGGUAGGGAUACCCGCUGAACUUAAGCAUAUCAAUAAGCGGAGGA
RNAcentral lists this unclassified non-coding RNA (340 nucleotides) under soil metagenome. RNAcentral's name for it is "partial contains 5.8S ribosomal RNA, internal transcribed spacer 2, and large subunit ribosomal RNA". The stretch from base 1 to 121 matches the Rfam family "5.8S ribosomal RNA", at positions 35 to 154 of the family's 154-position model. The record is from RNAcentral.